Molecule: long non-coding RNA, 4913 nt
Filed under: Homo sapiens (human)
Lineage: Eukaryota; Metazoa; Chordata; Mammalia; Primates; Hominidae
Description: HSALNT0389642
Source: RNAcentral
ACACGGGGCCGGCCCUGACGGCGCUCCCGGGAGCAGCCGGUGCGCGGCGGCGGCACGACCCCCUGCGCCUCCGAGGCAGACGAGCCCAUCGGGAGAAGGCGAGGCAGGGAAGUGCCUGUGCGUGUGGAAAAGGGGGUCUGUGGGGCGGAUGCGAGUGCGCGCGUGCUCGCGGACCAGCGAGGGAGAGUAGAGCAGUACCGCACUCUGCGCGGGGGCCCCUCUUCUGCCCCGUGUCCCCCUCUCCUCCCUCCGCGGGCAAACAGGCACGCACCUGCCUGCACAGAACCUCAGCCUCUGCCCGCGCCCGUCGCCCCUCGUCACUUGUUCCCCAGGAUCCUGUAAGGCACCCGCAUCCUUCCCGGCCACCCAGCUCCCUUCCCCUGUCACUCACUGUCGCCUUGAACCCAAAGUGCAGCAGGCGGUCCCUGCUCGGAGCCAUUUUCCUCCUCUUCUGGAUGUGUCUAGAUUGGGGCAGUGCGGCUGCCGCCGCGCCUCCGCGGUUGCCGCCGCCGCCGCCUCCCCCGCCUCCCCCGCCCCAGUGCAUUACAUUACGGGGUGCUGCAGGGAGGCCUGGGGGGCCGGGGCCGGACGCUUGUCUCCCUGUGCAUGGCUCGGGAGGGCGAGGGUGGUUGCGCUGAGCAACAGGCCAAGUGCCCGCCCUGGUCCGGGGAUGGCUGCGGAGCUGCACCUGAGGCCGGGGGUCGGGGGUGCAGGGCUGGAGCCGGGCAACCCUUCCUUUGGCCGGGGUCGGGGCGCGCGUCCGUGGGGGUGGGGCGGGCGAGACCGAAGAGCCUUUGGUUUUCCUUGCUCGGCCGCCGCCGGCGCCCAAUGGGCUGCAGCGCCUGCCUGUCCGCCAAUCAGGGCGCUGUUUGGUGAGAGCUUCGGCCUGACGUCACUUUGGCGGGAGAAACAAGCGUGUGUGAGCGAGUAGGCGGGGGCGUUUUCCCGAUGGAAACACUUCAUCAGACUCCCGGGCUCCUUGUAUAGAAGCUGAUCUGUGUCAUCAUAUUAUAUUAUGUUUUAACAACUCUGGCCUUCAAGGUCUCAGAAUUUAUGACCGAAUUUCCACGAAGGAAUAACACAGGAUUUUGUAGUUUUGUUGCCCCUUCUAUGAGCAACAAACUACAAAAUUAUGUCCUAAGAGUGAACUAUUAGAAACUGUAUAAUAAAUUCCAGCACACCUGGCAGGAGCAGCAGCACUGCUAAUUGUAUGCUUCCAAAGCAGUUAUGAGUUGGUCUUCCUCACACCCCUUUUAAUUAGUGGUUUUAGCGACUGACUUGUUAUGCGUCUAAGAAAUUAACAAGAGCAACAAGUGCGGCAGAUCUUUAAGAACAGGUAUAUUUUAGCUGGAGGACAUAUUACCCAACUCUUAAAGCACUGUACAAACUUUUUCUUUUUUUUUUUUUUUUUUUUUUUGAGACAGAGGUUCAACUCUGUCGCUUAGGCUGGAGUGCAGUGGCACGAUCUCGGUUUACUGCAACCUCUGCCUCCCGGGUUCAAGCCUCCCAAGUAGCUGGGAUUACAGGCGCGCCGCGCCGCACCUGGCUAAGUAGAGACGAGGUUUCGCCAUGUUGGCCAGGCUGGUCAGGAACACCUGACUACAAGUGAUCCGCCCGCCUCGGCCUCCCAGAGUGCUGGGAUCUUUUUUCUUUUGUAGAGACGGGGUCUCCCUAUGUUGCCCAGACUAGUCUGCAAUUCCUGGGCCCAAGUGAUCCUCCAGCCUCCUCCCAGUGCUGAGAUUACAGGCCUCAUGUGAGCCACCACGACCAGCGCGCCACCCCCCGGCUUUUUUUAAUCCUAGAGGGGGCUUCCUAAAACCAGGGACCUAGCUUCAGAAACUCAUUCUCAGGCCCACAAACCCAGGUCUGUCUUCUCCUCCUGUCCCAGGUACUUUUAAUGUUUUUGCUUGACUUCAGCCAGUGGAAUAAAAAAGCCUUUUCAUUCUGUCUCAUCUAAGAGCUGUUUUCUCCCAGCAAAAACUGAUGCAUUUGGUGAGUAACAAUGGCAAAGGGAUGGCCGGGCGCGGUGGCUCACGCCUGUAAUCCCAGCACUUUGGGAGGCCAAGGCGGGCGGAUCAUAAGGUCAGGAGAUUGAGACCAUCCUGGCCAACAUGGUGAAACCCCGUCUCUGCUAAAAAUACAAAAAUUAGCUGGGCGUGGUGGUGGGCGCCUCUAAUCCCAGCUACUCGGGAGGCUGAGGCAGAAUUGCUUGAACCCGGGAGGCGGAGGUUGUAGUGAGCCAAGAUUGUGCCACUGCACUCCAGCCUGGGCGACACAGCGAGACUCCAUCUCGAAAAAAAAAAAAAUGGCAAAGGGUAGAAAAACUGGCCUACAGAGUAAUAGAAUGAAGACAAGUUUCACAGCUCCGUCAGUUACCAGUUGACCCAUUUCAAGUAGUACUCAGGGAAGACAUUUACUGUUGACUGACUCUUUAAAAUUGACUGGAGUUUUGAACAAAUGAAAAAAGUAUUCAAAGGCUAAAAUUUUAUUACACACAGGCAAAUUACUUUUUAUCAAAGAAGUUUAUUUGCAUGUAAAUAAACAGGUUAUUUUGUAAUGUUUCGGGAAAAAAAUCCCACAACAGAUUUCAUCUACUUUCAAAAAAAUGAAAAACCCCAAAGUAUUUACAAAACGGCCAUAUGCACAGAAAACCAAAUUUGAAAGAUUUUUUUAAAAAAAGACCCUCCCCAGCUGCUCCUGAUGUACAUUUUUAAACUCAAAAUUUAAAGCUCAGUUCUUAUAGCUGAGCAUGUUUCCCAAUCUAGCUUCUGAGAUGUUAAGUACUUCCUGCCCCUCCAAAACUAACUCAAGGAUAGAAAUGUAUGGGGGGCAGGGGAGGAGGGGAGAAGGAAAAAAAAAUGAGAUUGCCCAAGGAUUGUGAAUAAUGUUUCGUAUACUGACAUCUUUAAGUGACUCAACUGUGGAUACUGUAUGACUCACUGGCUCCCUGAAAGGGCUUCUGAGAAUUCAUGAUAUUGCUGCACUUAAUUUUCUGAUCUAGGCCUGAAGAAAGAAAAUCUUUCAAGAGUCACCAACCUCAAGCCUGGUUUUGGCAAUUAUAUCCUGCGUUGUUUGUCCCCACCACCCCACCCCCCACCCGCUAAAAUACUUCUGUUUUAAGACACAUUGAUAUUGAACCUGAAAUCUUUAUGUACAUCAGAGCAGGUUAUGACCAAGAACCCCUAAUGUUAAGUCAAAAGACAGAAGAGGAAUCAGGUCAAACUGAGAAUACAUAAGACACCAGCAGCAGAAGAUAGGUAGAAGUUGACUUCAUGUCCUUGCCUUCUUUUGAAACAGAAGAAUGAGUACACCUAGACAGGAGGGAGGUGUCCCAGGCUUGGUUUAUUCUGCCUCUUCUCCUCCACCCUGUGGAGAAAUGCAGUGCUCCCUGGUUCUCAGGCAGGGUGAAGCAGUUUAGCCCCGGCUCCCUGUUAAGCAAGUUCAGAUGCUGGGUCAGUGUGGGGGUGAGCCCAUCGACAAUUCAGGGGCUUAUCCUUCAUCCAGAUCCUAACUCGGGAUUCUUUGAUCUGGGAUGAAGACAGAAAGAGAGAAAAGCUUCCCAGUUUACUCAUUUUGGUAUUUGUUGGCCCUGCAUGGGGGAGCUGAGCCCAUGAUACUAUUCAGUACAUUCCCCCUAAGAUUCUCCCCACUCAGAACAAAUUUUAAAAACCACAUAAAUUUUUUUUUUUUUCCUGCAGAAACCAACGGGAUAGGAUUCAAAACUAGGUGACAAACUCAUGAGAAAUCCAACCUGGCUGAAUGUCUGAGAGGCUGCUACUGUAUCAACAUCACAAGAUAAAGCACUCUGGUAUCACCUGCCCAUAUCCUCCUUAGUGUCACCCAAGACAUUUGACUCUGAUGUGGUUAAUUGAUAACUUUUCUUGCUCCACUUUACAAUGUUUUGUUUCCUACAUCUUAUUACCUUGGGACACAAAAGUGGCAGAGUUGUUGAGAGCUGAUGACAAUAAAAAGGAGAACACUAGAGGAAAUGAGACAGGAAAGAAAGCCAAAGCUGAUUUUCCAACUCUAUGCUGACUCCAACCUGCAGAAAAAGCUGAAUAUAGAAAUCUUCUUCCAUAUAUGAUGAAGUCACUCCACUUACGACAUAACACACAAAGGAAUCACCUGGCUUUUUUUUUUUAACCCAGAAGAGUUGUGCUGGGGACCAUGCCCCAUCCCGCUGAUACAGAUCCUGAAUGGAAUAAUCAGGAAUGGCACAGUGCAGGUGUCAAUAUCAAAGUAAGGCCGCAGAAUUUUUGAGAGGACCCUCCAAAUACUGAGAACUUCUGUUGCACUCGAAACAGUCUCCUGGAUUUCUAUAUUUUUAUGUGAAGGGCUCUUAUUGAUGUCCCCCAGAAUCCAGACUCAGACCUAUUUCUCCAAAAAGGUCCAAUUGGGUUGCUACAUAGUAGCAAGGGUUUAUCUUCAUGCUCACCUAGCAUUCCAGGCCCCCAUUACUUCAAAAGUGAGCUUGAAAUUGUUUUAAGUGAACUAUGGCUGCGGAUUUUUUACUGUUUUAUCUCAGGGAGCAUACAGUGGAGUGAUUAAAGUUUGGACUCCUUCUCCUUGUGAUGAAGAGAAACAGUGAGUCCAGCUCUUAGGAAUGGCAUCAGUUCUCCUGCAAACAAAAUGCUGGGAUGCAGACUUUUGGCACAUUGUGGAAGUAGGAGAACUAUUAAUCCUGUAAUGGUUUUCAUGCCACUGGGUCAGGAAGGCUGUCCUACACUAAACCUUACUGCAUCUGAAAACAUGUUUACAUCCCAACAAGCCACCUUAGCUUUUUUUUUUUUUUUUGAAAGGAAAAUGAGAUUACAAGUCAAUACCUCCACAGAGAGGUAACUCCUAAUAUUCCUAUGAUCUCUGAACCCUAUUUAAACCCUCCUAAAAUAAAAAUAUCAUUUUGGUUUUUCUAU